This 427-nucleotide ribosomal RNA is filed under the name uncultured bacterium. Its description in RNAcentral is "partial 16S ribosomal RNA". It matches the Rfam family "Bacterial small subunit ribosomal RNA", at positions 354 to 796 of the family's 1533-position model. The record is from RNAcentral.
GUAGGGAAUUUUCGGCAAUGGGCGAAAGCCUGACCGAGCAACGCCGCGUGAGGGAAGAAGGCCUUAGGGUCGUAAACCUCUGUUGUGUGGGAAGAAGAGCGUGACGGUACCACACGAGGAAGUCCCGGCUAACUACGUGCCAGCAGCCGCGGUAAUACGUAGGGGACGAGCGUUGUCCGGAUUUACUGGGCGUAAAGGGCGCGUAGGCGGUCAUUUAAGUCAGCUGUGAAAUGGUUUGGCUUAACCGGAUCAUGCGGUUGAAACUGGAUGACUGGAGUGCUGGAGAGGCAAGUGGAAUUCCCAGUGUAGCGGUGAAAUGCGUAGAUAUUGGGAAGAACACCGGUGGCGAAGGCGACUUGCUGGCCAGUAACUGACGCUGAGGCGCGAAAGCCAGGGGAGCAAACGGGAUUAGAUACCCUAGUAGUCC